Molecule: ribosomal RNA, 433 nt
Filed under: uncultured bacterium
Lineage: Bacteria
Description: partial 16S ribosomal RNA
Rfam family: Bacterial small subunit ribosomal RNA
Source: RNAcentral
GACGAACGCUGGCGGCAGGCCUAACACAUGCAAGUCGAGCGGACCUUUCGGGGUCAGCGGCGGACGGGUGAGUAACGCGUGGGAAUAUGCCCUUCUCUACGGAAUAGUCCUGGGAAACUGGGGGUAAUACCGUAUACGCCCUUUGGGGGAAAGAUUUAUCGGGGAAGGAUUAGCCCGCGUUGGAUUAGGUAGUUGGUGGGGUAAUGGCUUACCAAGCCGUGGAUCCAUAGCUGGUUUGAGAGGAUGAUCAGCCACACUGGGACUGAGACACGGCCCAGACUCCUACGGGAGGCAGCAGUGGGGAAUCUUAGACAAUGGGGGCAACCCUGAUCGAGCCAUGCCGCGUGAGUGAUGAAGGCCUUAGGGUUGUAAAGCUCUUUCAGCUGGGAAGAUAAUGACGGUACCAGCAGAAGAAGCCCCGGCUAACUCCGUG